This 395-nucleotide ribosomal RNA is filed under the name Cardinium endosymbiont of Sepsis punctum. Its description in RNAcentral is "bacterial SSU rRNA". It matches the Rfam family "Bacterial small subunit ribosomal RNA", at positions 475 to 873 of the family's 1533-position model. Lineage: Bacteria; Pseudomonadati; Bacteroidota; Cytophagia; Cytophagales; Amoebophilaceae. The record is from RNAcentral.
UUACUGUAAGGAUAAGCACCGGCUAAUUCCGUGCCAGCAGCCGCGGUAAUACGGAAGGUGCAAGCGUUAUCCGGUUUUAUUGGGUUUAAAGGGUGCGUAGGCGGCUUAUUAAGUCAGUUGUGAAAUCCUAGUGCUUAACGCUAGAACUGCAAUUGAUACUAUUAGGCUUGAGUUAAGAAUAGGUAAGUAGAAUUUAUGGUGUAGUAGUGAAAUGCUUAGAUAUCAUAAGGAAUACCAAUAGCGUAGGCAGCUUACUGGUCUUUAACUGACGCUGAGGCACGAAAGCGUGGGGAGCAAACAGGAUUAGAUACCCUGGUAGUCCACGCCGUAAACGAUGAUCACUCGGUAUACAUAAAUUUAUGUGUGUCUAAGCGAAAGCGUUAGUUGAUCCACAA